RNAcentral lists this ribosomal RNA (1326 nucleotides) under metagenome. Its description in RNAcentral is "bacterial LSU rRNA". It matches the Rfam family "Bacterial large subunit ribosomal RNA", at positions 1561 to 2925 of the family's 2925-position model. The record is from RNAcentral.
AGUGGAUGGGGAGCAACCUAGUUGUGCGUGGGUAAAGGUAGUGCCAAGAAAAGCGAUGAUCAUGUUGAAAAUCAAUUCCCGGUACCCGAAACCGACACAGGUGGGCAAGUAGAGAAUACUAAGGGGCGCGAGGUAACUCUCUCCAAGGAACUCGGCAAAAUGACCCCGUAACUUAGGGAGAAGGGGUGCCACCGAGAGGUGGUCGCAGUGAAGAGGCCCAGGCGACUGUUUAGCAAAAACAUAGGUCUCUGCAAACUCGAAAGAGGAGGUAUAGGGGCUGACGCCUGCCCAGUGCCGGAAGGUUAAAGAAGUUGGUCAGUCUUAGGAUGAAGCUAGCGACUGAAGCCCCGGUGAACGGCGGCCGUAACUAUAACGGUCCUAAGGUAGCGAAAUUCCUUGUCGGGUAAGUUCCGACCCGCACGAAAGGCGUAACGAUCUGGGCGCUGUCUCGGAGAGAGGCUCGGCGAAAUAGGAUUGUCUGUGAAGAUACGGACUACCUGCAUUUGGACAGAAAGACCCUAUGAAGCUUUACUAUAGCUUGGAAUUGUGUUCGGGCUUCCUGUGCGCAGGAUAGGUGGGAGGCGUAGAAGGUAUUCUUGUGGGGAUACUGGAGCCAACGGUGAGAUACCACUCUCAGGAGGCUAGAAUUCUAACUUAAUUAAGGACAGUUUCAGGUGGGUAGUUUGACUGGGGCGGUCGCCUCCAAAAAGGUAACGGAGGCGUACAAAGGUUCCCUCAGACUGGUUGGAAAUCAGUCGAAGAGUGCAAAGGCAGAAGGGAGCUUGACUGCGAGAAGUACAGUUCGAGCAGGGUGGAAACACGGUCUUAGUGAUCCGACGGUGCUGUGUGGAAGGGCCGUCGCUCAACGGAUAAAAGUUACUCUAGGAUAACAGGCUGAUCUCCCCCAAGAGUUCACAUCGACGGGGAGGUUUGGCACCUCGAUGUCGGCUCAUCGCAACCUGGGGCGGAAGUACGUCCCAAGGGUUGGGCUGUUCGCCCAUUAAAGCGGUACGUGAGCUGGGUUCAGAACGUCGUGAGACAGUUCGGUCCAUAUCCGAUGUAGGCGUGAGAAUAUUGAGAGGAGCCUUCCUUAGUACGAGAGGACCGGGAAGGACGCACCGCUGGUGUACCUGUUAUGAUGCCAAUUGUAAACGCAGGGUAGCCAAGUGCGGAGAGGAUAACCGCUGAAAGCAUCUAAGUGGGAAGCCCACCUCAAGAUGAGUAUUCUGGUGUAAGGUCACGGGAAGACGACCCGUAAAUAGGCACGAGGUGGAAGUGCAGAGAUGUAUGAAGCCGAAGUGUACUAAUAGACCGUCGGCUUGACCG